Molecule: long non-coding RNA, 1497 nt
Organism: Papaver somniferum (opium poppy)
Lineage: Eukaryota; Viridiplantae; Streptophyta; Magnoliopsida; Ranunculales; Papaveraceae
Exons: 4
Source: RefSeq, a predicted model, not a curated record
GGGUUUUAAGGUCGGGCGAGACGCCGAGACCUCUGCUCUUGUUGUUUUACAGUAAUGGUGAUCGAUGACUUACUACGGUUGACAGACAACUUAACCAUGGAUGAGAGCAGUUCACCACAAUCUAAUAUGGAAGACAGAAUCAGCGAUUUACCAGAUAAUUUAAUUCGUCUUGUCGAAAAGAUGGCAACACAUUUGGAGAUCUCUGACAAUUCUUAACUUCGACGUGUCUCAGUUUAGUUCGAGCCGAACGGGAACAUUCACCAAAUUUACGAAUUUUAUGUAUAUGGUACUCUUGUUUCGUGACGAUCACAGGAUACAGAGGUUUCCGCUUGAUUUCCGUCAAGAUAGAAUUGAUUCAUCUCAUAUCCAUAAAUGGAUUGCUAAAGCUGUAAAGCAUAAUGUUGAAGAGCUAUGUAUCAAGAGCAAUACAUCGAAUGAAUUCUCUAUAUUUUCACACAGCUUGUGUUUGUGUACUUGUAAGUCAUUGACAAAGUUGGAGUUGGAAUUGCCAUGGGGUUUCAACUUCGGUUCAGAGAUUGUUUCUACGGCCGUGAUUUUACCUAAGCUUAAAUCAAUGAAUCUGCUGUUUGGAUAUCUAUCGGAUGAUAACGUGGAUUUAGCUAGCGAGUUAUUUACUAAAUGUCCAGCUCUGGAGUCGUUGGUCUUGGUUUUCAGUAGCUGUCGACCUAUAAAUCUCAGAAUUUCUGUGCCAACACUAAAGCAUAUCAGCCUUACAGGUCAGCAAGGUCACACUAUGUGCUCCAAAUCUUUCAUCCUUCAUCUGCUUUACUAGCCUGGUAGAAGAUUACCGUCUGGAGAAUCUUUGUUACUGCUGAUGUCAGUAUCAACAUAGGACAAGACGAUAAGGUGAACAACAUCGAGCUUCGUGAAGCGACAAAAGUGUCUUAUGCUCAAAGUAUGGUGGAAUUACUGAGAGGGAUGCUCAACGUGAAAGUUCUAUCGUUAACAAAUGAAUUUAAGGUUUUAGCAGGAGCUCCUGAAAUUUUGGACUGCCGGAUUCGUAACUCUCCAAAGGUUGAUCCUUAAAACCUGGCUUUCAAGAGGUUGCAUAGACGCAAUAAUAUAUUUACUCAGGAAGUCUCCUAAUCUAGAAUUUCUGGAGCUAAACAUAGAACCGACGGUUUUAGAUGGAAAAGAUAUUUGGGACUCAGCAAUAUCAUUGCCAUUCAUGUUGCAUCACCUCAAGCAUAUGAUUCGAGGUGUCCGGGGAUAUAGCAGUAAUGAAGUACAAUUUAUAAAAGUCAUGUUGAAAAGUGCCGUGGCCUUGGAGAAAGUUGUUCUUUUCGGUAAAUUUUCUGAACAAGACCUUAGAGAAAGUUGGCCUUGGUGAAAGUUGUCUUGCAGAAAGAAACGAGCGAAGAAAUUCAAAGAGGCACUUCUUGCAUAUCCAGGAGCUUCUAGUAUUAUGUCGUUCAGGGCCGAUUCCAAGUAGGGUGGCAAUGUGGCAUUCUAAUACCAAUUUUUAAAUUUGCAUUG